GACGAACGCUGGCGGCGUGCUUAACACAUGCAAGUCGAGCGGUAAGGCCCUUUCGGGGGUACGACGAGCGGCGAACGGGUGAGUAACACGUGGGUGACCUGCCCUCAGCUCUGGGAGUAAGCCUGGGAAACCGGGGUACUAAUACUGGAUAUGACUCCAUGACGCAUGUUGUGGGGUGGAAAGCCUUGUGCGGCUGAGGAUGGGCCCGCGGCCUAUCAGCUUGUUGGUGGGGUGAGGCCUACCAAGGCGACGACGGGUAGCCGGCC
Molecule: ribosomal RNA, 266 nt
Filed under: uncultured bacterium
Lineage: Bacteria
Description: partial 16S ribosomal RNA
Rfam family: Bacterial small subunit ribosomal RNA
Source: RNAcentral